This 510-nucleotide ribosomal RNA is filed under the name uncultured bacterium. RNAcentral describes it as "partial 16S ribosomal RNA". It matches the Rfam family "Bacterial small subunit ribosomal RNA", at positions 28 to 507 of the family's 1533-position model. The record is from RNAcentral.
GACGAACGCUGGCGGCGUGCUUAACACAUGCAAGUCGAACGAAGAGCGAUGGAAGCUUGCUUCUAUCAAUCUUAGUGGCGCACGGGUGAGUAACGCGUAAUCAACCUGCCCUUCAGAGGGGGACAACAGUUGGAAACGACUGCUAAUACCGCAUACGAUCUAACCUCGGCAUCGAGGAUAGAUGAAAGGUGGCCUCUACAUGUAAGCUAUCACUGAAGGAGGGGAUUGCGUCUGAUUAGCUAGUUGGAGGGGUAACGUCCCACCAAGGCGAUGAUCAGUAGCCGGUCUGAGAGGAUGAACGGCCACAUUGGGACUGAGACACGGCCCAGACUCCUACGGGAGGCAGCAGUGGGGAAUCUUCCGCAAUGGACGAAAGUCUGACGGAGCAACGCCGCGUGAGUGAUGACGGCCUUCGGGUUGUAAAGCUCUGUUAAUCGGGACGAAAGGCCUUCUUGCGAAUAGUGAGAAGGAUUGACGGUACCGGAAUAGAAAGCCACGGCUAACUACGUG